This 381-nucleotide unclassified non-coding RNA is filed under the name Hevea brasiliensis (rubber tree). Lineage: Eukaryota; Viridiplantae; Streptophyta; Magnoliopsida; Malpighiales; Euphorbiaceae. The record is from RNAcentral.
GGGAAAGCUCGAUGUGCAUGGGCUGAACAUUGUGAAUACAGAUAUGUAUUCGGGGAUGUUCACCUGGGACAGAGUUGCAGAUUGAAGAGUUCUACAUCUCACAUCCUGUCACACUAUGUGUGAUAUUUAAGAAACUUUGUUUGGCGGAACAACAAGUUUGCACAAACAUUUGAAGAAGAAGGCGAAAUGAUUCAGAGAGCAAAGACGGGGAUGUUCAUCUUGACAGCAUUACAUCCAACUUCAUUUGUGUAUCAUAAACUUGGAGAGCACCUGGAGGGAGCCCUCUGUAUAUCGAUGAAAUUUUGUAGAGUACUAAAAUUUAGCACCAGAAUAUGUUCCACUUUAGAAUGUAAUUUCAGGUAAGAGUCAAGAACCUCUGAU